UCUUAUUUUUUGGUUAUUUCUUAGAAAAAGUUUACAAAAUUAAUGUAAAUUUAUCUUUUUCUCUUUUAUUUUAACUUUAUCGCCACCAUUACCAUCGAUGCAGUCGCCAUAAUCUCAUGUCUAACACCACUCACACUCAACAUCACCUUCACCAUAACCGCUCUAUACUGCUGCCAUCGUCGCAACCUCUACUUACACAACCACCAGAAAAUGCAUCAGUACUUUCUUCUUCUUCUUCGUUUACCACCGAUUUAGAUCUACGUAAAUAUACCCUAAACUGAUGGAUUUGAUACCCUAAAUUCAUUCAGAUCUAAGAUAUAUACGAAAGAGAGAAAGAAAAACGAGGAAAAAGGUCGUUUUCUUUAUUCAUGUACGAUACAUUGCUCGGGUUCGUCUUUUACACAAUUUCAACCUUCUGUUUUGCAGUUUCAUAUGAUUUUUGUUAGUAAUCAAUUUCCUGAAUCAUUUUAUGUUUCUAGUUUAUAUCGGUUUUUGCAUCAUUUUGUGUUGCCUAGCAUUCUACAUUUACUGGUGUAUAUAUGAAAUGAUGUUGACUGGCUUUCCUCAUCUGGCAUUUCAUAUGAAGAUGAAGCAUAAUAAUUGUAAGGUUUUGGUGAUUAUUUGGAUAUGUGGUGUAAUUUUGUUGUGGGUCUCCAUGGUUAUGAAAUCGAGUCCUGAUUACAUAGUAUUUUGAUAGUGGGAAUACCUUAUUCAUAUUACAUUUUAUCUCAACAGAAUUGACAUGAAUCCUAGAUUUGAAGUACCUUUUGGUUCAAGAAUCAUACCAGUCUCUUGAAACGCUAUUGGAUUUAUAAAAACAUCACCCUUUUCAGGUAAAUCACCAAUGGAAGGUACAAGAGUGUGAUGCAUAAAGUGGUUUCUUGAACAUAUGAGAUCCAAUGCCAAUAGCUUCAUUUUUCAAUAUGAGCUCUUAUGAUGUGACCUACUUUCUAAUACUUACUCAUUCCACCUUUUUGAUUGGUUGUUCUAUGUUUUCCUCACUGACCCCCUUUUCUGCCUUUUGCUAGUGAAAACUGGCAUUAAUGGCUAGAAAUUGGCAACUGUUGACAUAUAUCUCAAAAGAUUGAUUCUACAUGAGUAGAAGUUCUAAUCAAGUUUAUAAAUUUAUUAUGAAUGUCUCAUAACAUAGUGUUCAUUUGAAAUGUAUUAUCAUAAUUCUCUAAUAUAAUAUAUCACUUUUUGGUAUAGAUUCUACCAACUUUUGAGGAACAAGAGGUACUACUCUAAAAACAAUAAAAUAUUAUAGAUGAGAGAGGCAAGUUAGACAUUGAUUCACCUCAAUCUUUAUUAUUGGUAUUCAUUCAUUGUUUGAUUCAUUUAGUCAUCCUAGAGGUUUGUUAUUAUGUUUUUUUAAUCAAUGUAUGUCCCUUUGCAAUCACUAUUAACUUAUAGGAUGCAAAUGUUUAUAAUUUCUGGUAGAUGUCAACUUGAUUUGUUUUACAUCUUAACAAUUGUAUUAGUUGAUACUAUCAAGUCUUGAAGUUAAUAUAUAUACACAUUAUUUUGUUUUA
Molecule: long non-coding RNA, 1532 nt
Organism: Lactuca sativa (garden lettuce)
Lineage: Eukaryota; Viridiplantae; Streptophyta; Magnoliopsida; Asterales; Asteraceae
Source: RefSeq, a predicted model, not a curated record